GGGCGAGUAGCUUACCGGAAGCACCAGCUUUAUGAACCGUUCACUCGAUUCGAUAUGCCUGCACGGAGGUUCAAAUCCUCCCUCGUCCA
Transfer RNA from Botryobasidium botryosum FD-172 SS1, 89 nucleotides. It matches the Rfam family "tRNA". Rfam says of the family: Transfer RNA (tRNA) molecules are approximately 80 nucleotides in length. Their secondary structure includes four short double-helical elements and three loops (D, anti-codon, and T loops). Lineage: Eukaryota; Fungi; Basidiomycota; Agaricomycetes; Cantharellales; Botryobasidiaceae. The record is from Rfam.